Molecule: long non-coding RNA, 1350 nt
Filed under: Sinocyclocheilus grahami
Lineage: Eukaryota; Metazoa; Chordata; Actinopteri; Cypriniformes; Cyprinidae
Description: lncRNA (ENSSGRG00000032835.1)
Source: RNAcentral
AAUCCGGCUGUUUAUCGGGCUACUGUGUGAUUUAUUACGAAUAUUGGUUACUGAAUUUCAUUAUUUAGAGCAAUAGGUUGAUGGCUUCAUUUUCCCGUGUUUCACCCUCUCCAGGUGUUGUAAACACUGCUUUUGGACCAGUUUAGGUUGAUUGAGAAACAUUUUGUCGGCGUCGCGGAAGUGCAUAGACAACCAACGACUUGCGGCCGUUUUUUAUGAAUACACCUACCGAAGUACAGCAGCAGGAGGACAUGUACGGCAUGGCAGAAAUGCCCGAUCUCAUGCCACCGGCAGGUGCAUUACAACCCAGUCCAGUAAUCCCGUACGACCACGGACAGGCAGGGAGAAACAGACCAGACCUCCUGUCCGCCCCACGAAGAAUGCAGCGAGCCCCCAAACUCGGACAGAUCGGGCGGUCUACGAGAGUGGUUAUUGAUGAUGAGGACUUGGAUGAUAUUAUAAACAAUAACAGAAGCUUCCCGGUUUCUCAGAGAGUAUCACCUGUUGCCUGAUGCAUGGCUGACUGUGCCAAAGCUGUUAAGAGGCCAACACACCAAAGCAGGCCUACAGAAUUGAACGAAAAUCUCCCUCUCACAUGUUCUCACUUGUCGGCACCUUUCACUGUACAGCUUUUAAGGCUUUCACCUCUUCAAGGUCAAACAAGAGAACUGUGGACUUUGCUUCCUGUUCACUUUAUGCUUGCCCAUCACUUAACUGAUGUCGUGCUUCUGUAGCACUGAAUGACCCUGUCUGGUGUUCUCAGUUUUGGAUGUUUCUUUCUUGAGAUGAAGAUCUUGAUGAUCUCUAAUGCAACAGGGCUAUAUUUAUUAAAUUUGCACUUUACUGCAGAAUAAGAAAGCUAACCUCAGCAGGUUGGAUUACUCAUCUCCCAAAGAGGACAUUUUCCUGUGAAACUCUGUUAACGUGUAACGCGCCAUUUGGUAAGAGCUGUGGUUACCUUGGUAACCAGGGCCUACCUUGACAUUUCUCUGAAUGACAUUGGCUACUUGUUAAUUUUAAGGAUCUUUUAUUUGGUUUUUAUGUGGCUGUUGAUUUUAGUUUGAAUUGAAAUAAGUACAAUCUUGAAUGCAUACUGAGAUGAACAAUCAAAUCUUCUAAACUGAUCUCAGAUGUUGGUUGAAGUAUAUUGCUCUUAAAAAUGUUUUUAGCUUCUAAAUGUUUGCAUGGAAAUUCAUGGAUUUUUGUAAAUUGUUUUGGGGGAGUGCAGUGGGGUGGGAGUAAUAAAGUAUGCAUGAGUAACUUUAUUGCAUUUGUUAAUGUUUGAAUACAGGCUAUUUGUAAAGGUGUUAGUGCUGUCAAUAGAUUAAAAAAAUUAACUGAUUAAUCGCA